GUGCAGCAGGCGCGAAACCUUUGCAAUGCGCGAAAGCGUGACAAGGGGACCCCAAGUGCCGCUGGCUUUUAGUCGGCGGCUUUUAGAGAGUCUAAAGAGCUCUCGGAAUAAGGGCUGGGUAAGUCGGGUGCCAGCCGCCGCGGUAAUACCCGCAGCCCAAGUGGUGGCCGCGAUUAUUGGGCCUAAAGCGCUCGUAGCCGGGUUGGCAAGUCCUUUGUGAAAUCGACCAGGAGACUGGUCGGCGCGCGGAGGAUACUGCCAGUCUAGAGGCCGGGAGACGCCGAGGGUACUCCGGGGGUAGCGGUGAAAUGCUGUAAUCCUUGGGGGACCACCAGUGGCGAAGGCGUUCGGCGAGAACGGACCUGACGGUGAGGGGCGAAGGCUAGGGGAGCGAACGGGAUUAGAUACCCCGGUAGUCC
RNAcentral lists this ribosomal RNA (419 nucleotides) under uncultured Methanobacteriales archaeon. Its description in RNAcentral is "partial 16S ribosomal RNA". It matches the Rfam family "Archaeal small subunit ribosomal RNA", at positions 330 to 747 of the family's 1478-position model. Lineage: Archaea; Methanobacteriati; Methanobacteriota; Methanobacteria; Methanobacteriales. The record is from RNAcentral.